This 469-nucleotide ribosomal RNA is filed under the name uncultured bacterium. RNAcentral describes it as "partial 16S ribosomal RNA". It matches the Rfam family "Bacterial small subunit ribosomal RNA", at positions 28 to 507 of the family's 1533-position model. The record is from RNAcentral.
GACGAACGCUGGCGGCGUGCUUAACACAUGCAAGUCGAACGGAAAGGCCCUGCUUGCAGGGUGCUCGAGUGGCGAACGGGUGAGUAACACGUGGGUGAUCUGCCCCUUACUUUGGGAUAAGCCUGGGAAACUGGGUCUAAUACUGGAUAGGACCAUGCUGUAGGUGGUGUGGUGGAAAGAUUAGUUUCGUUAAGGGUUGAGCUCGCGGCCUAUCAGCUUGUUGGUGGGGUAUUGGCCUACCAAGGCGUCGACGGGUAGCCGGCCUGAGAGGGUGGACGGCCACAUUGGGACUGAGAUACGGCCCAGACUCCUACGGGAGGCAGCAGUGGGGAAUAUUGCACAAUGGGCGCAAGCCUGAUGCAGCGACGCCGCGUGGGGGAUGACGGCCUUCGGGUUGUAAACUCCUUUCAGCCAUGACGAAGCCCUUGUGGUGACGGUAGUGGUAGAAGAAGCACCGGCUAACUACGUG